RNAcentral lists this transfer RNA (66 nucleotides) under Glyptotendipes tokunagai. RNAcentral's name for it is "tRNA-Arg". Lineage: Eukaryota; Metazoa; Arthropoda; Insecta; Diptera; Chironomidae. The record is from RNAcentral.
AAAUAAGAAGCAAAAUUUGCAAUUAGUUUCGACCUAAUCAUUGAUAUUAAAUAAUAUCCUUAUUUU